CCAGUAGCGUAUAUUAAAGUUGUUGCAGUUAAAAAGCUCGUAGUUGAAUUUCGGGGUCAGCAGGUUGGUCGUGCCAAUGGUAUGCACUGGCCUUGCUGAUUCCUCCCUCUUGAUGAGCCGUAAUGCCAUUAAUUUGGUGUUGCGGGGAAUCAGGACUGUUACUUUGAAAAAAUUAGGGUGUUUAAAGCAGGCAAGCGCUUGAAUACAUUAGCAUUGAAUAAUGAAAUAGGACGUUCGAUCCUAUUUUGUUGGUUUCUAGGAUUGACGUAAUGAUUAAUAGGGAUAGUUGGGGGCAUUAGUAUCCAAUUGUCAGAGGUGAAAUUCUUGGAUUUAUUGAAGACUAACUACUGCGAAAGCAUUUGCCAAGGAUGUUUUCAUUAAUCAAGAACGAAAGUUAGGGGAUCGAGGACGAUCAGAUACCGUCGUAGUCUUAACCAUGAACUAUGCCGACUAGGGAUCGGAUGAUGUUAAUUUUUUAAUGACUCAUUCGGCGCCUUACG
RNAcentral lists this ribosomal RNA (500 nucleotides) under uncultured Glomeromycotina. RNAcentral describes it as "partial small subunit ribosomal RNA". It matches the Rfam family "Eukaryotic small subunit ribosomal RNA", at positions 591 to 1092 of the family's 1831-position model. Lineage: Eukaryota; Fungi; Glomeromycota. The record is from RNAcentral.